CGGGGUGUAGCGAAGCCUGGUUAUCGCACGUGCUUUGGGAGCACGAGACCGUCGGUUCGAAUCCGACCACCCCGACCA
RNAcentral lists this transfer RNA (78 nucleotides) under Chloroflexota bacterium. RNAcentral describes it as "tRNA-Pro". It matches the Rfam family "tRNA". Rfam says of the family: Transfer RNA (tRNA) molecules are approximately 80 nucleotides in length. Their secondary structure includes four short double-helical elements and three loops (D, anti-codon, and T loops). RNAcentral also lists the same sequence under 2 other names. Lineage: Bacteria; Bacillati; Chloroflexota. The record is from RNAcentral.